Molecule: ribosomal RNA, 497 nt
Filed under: uncultured bacterium
Lineage: Bacteria
Description: partial 16S ribosomal RNA
Rfam family: Bacterial small subunit ribosomal RNA
Source: RNAcentral
GAUGAACGCUGGCGGCGUGCCUAAUACAUGCAAGUCGAGCGAACAGACGAGGAGCUUGCUCCUCGGACGUUAGCGGCGGACGGGUGAGUAACACGUGGAUAACCUACCUAUAAGACUGGGAUAACUUCGGGAAACCGGAGCUAAUACCGGAUAAUAUAUUGAACCGCAUGGUUCAAUAGUGAAAGACGGUUUUGCUGUCACUUAUAGAUGGAUCCGCGCCGCAUUAGCUAGUUGGUAAGGUAACGGCUUACCAAGGCAACGAUGCGUAGCCGACCUGAGAGGGUGAUCGGCCACACUGGAACUGAGACACGGUCCAGACUCCUACGGGAGGCAGCAGUAGGGAAUCUUCCGCAAUGGGCGAAAGCCUGACGGAGCACCGCCGCGUGAGUGAUGAAGGUCUUCGGAUCGUAAAACUCUGUUAUUAGGGAAGAACAAAUGUGUAAGUAACUAUGCACGUCUUGACGGUACCUAAUCAGAAAGCCACGGCUAACUACGUG